AACCUGCCAGAGGAGUCCCUUCCAGUGCCCGCUACGGGCCGACGCCGCCAAGAAGUUCAACGUACAGAUUUUGUAAGAAUGCUUUAAGAACACAGGACGAUCUUCAAACUUGGACUUACGAUGGAGAGACACCAGAGAUGUGCCCACAGAGGUGAGACCAGGGGGAAACUGUGAAGAUGACCAUCUGAAAGCCAAGGAAAGAGGCCUCAGAGCAAACCAAACCUGCUGACACCGUGAUCUUGGACCUCCAAUCUCCAGAACUGUGAGAAGCUUCAUGUCUGUUGUUUAAGCCACAUGGACUGUAGGAUCUUGUUAUGGCAGGCUUAGCACUCUAAUAAAAUUGUG
Molecule: long non-coding RNA, 345 nt
Organism: Phacochoerus africanus (Common warthog)
Lineage: Eukaryota; Metazoa; Chordata; Mammalia; Artiodactyla; Suidae
Exons: 3
Source: RefSeq, a predicted model, not a curated record